Molecule: non-coding RNA, 72 nt
Organism: Manacus vitellinus (golden-collared manakin)
Lineage: Eukaryota; Metazoa; Chordata; Aves; Passeriformes; Pipridae
Source: Rfam
CCCCUGGUGGUCUAGUGGUUAGGAUGUGGUGCCCUCACCGCCGUGGCCUGGGUUCGAUUCCCGGUCAGGGAA